UGACUGUUUUAGAUUCGUGUAAAUAUUUAAUAUUUCGAUCCAAUGAACACAACACUGUAUUUGUUUUUAUAAUCGGAAAAAACCUUAUGAUUCAACUUUCGAAAUUAAAAUAAGUCGUAAUGGGAAAACGAUCGUGCGCCCCAUUAGUUUCAACCUCGGCGCUCGACCCCACACAUCAAUUAUAACGCUAACUUAUAAAAAGACAAAAUACAAACACAAAAAAAUGACAGGUUUAAAUUAAA
RNAcentral lists this long non-coding RNA (242 nucleotides) under Capsella rubella. RNAcentral describes it as "long non-coding RNA (CRUB_LNC003514)". The record is from RNAcentral. Lineage: Eukaryota; Viridiplantae; Streptophyta; Magnoliopsida; Brassicales; Brassicaceae.